This 102-nucleotide non-coding RNA is filed under the name Yersinia massiliensis. RNAcentral's name for it is "Yersinia sRNA 224". It matches the Rfam family "Yersinia sRNA 224". Lineage: Bacteria; Pseudomonadati; Pseudomonadota; Gammaproteobacteria; Enterobacterales; Yersiniaceae. The record is from RNAcentral.
UACGGAUAAAGUGGCCAUUGCGGAGAGAACUGGCAGAUCGUAAAGACGCCGUAAAUACCUCCCUGUAGGCUCGAGCCGCGCCAUCCUUGGCGCGGACGCUUU